AGAGUUUGGAUCCUGGCUCAGAAUCAACGCUGGCGGCGCGCUUAACACAUGCAAGUCGCACGAGAACGGGAGCAAUCCUAAGUAAAGUGGCGCACGGGUGAGUAACACGUGGAUCAUCUACCUUUUAGUGGGGAAUACCUCUGGGAAACCGGAGACAAUACCGCAUAAGCCUGUAAAGGGAAAGCAGCAAUGCGCUGAAAGAGGAGUCCGCGGCCGAUUAGCUAGUUGGCGGGGUAAUGGCCCACCAAGGCGAAGAUCGGUAGCCGGCCUGAGAGGGCACACGGCCACACUGGCACUGAAACACGGGCCAGACUCCUACGGGAGGCAGCAGUGGGGAAUCUUGCACAAUGGACGAAAGUCUGAUGCAGCGACGCCGCGUGAGCGAUGAAGCCCUUCGGGGUGUAAAGCUCUUUCGACGGGAACGAUAAUGACGGUACCCGGAGAAGAAGCUGCGGCUAACUACGUGCCAGCAGCCGCGGUAAUACGUAGGCAGCGAGCGUUGUUCGGAAUUACUGGGCGUAAAGAGUGUGUAGGCGGGUUCCCAGUCUGUUGUGAAAUCUCCCGGCUUAACUGGGAGGGUGCAGCGGAAACUAGAAUGCUAGAGGGUGGGAGAGGUAAGCGGAAUUCCUGGUGUAGCGGUGAAAAUGCGUAGGAUAUCAGGAGGAACACCUGUGGUGUAGACAGUUACUGGACCACUUCUGACGCUGAGACACGAAAAGCGUGGGUAG
Molecule: ribosomal RNA, 728 nt
Filed under: uncultured bacterium
Lineage: Bacteria
Description: bacterial SSU rRNA
Rfam family: Bacterial small subunit ribosomal RNA
Source: RNAcentral